This 5305-nucleotide long non-coding RNA is filed under the name Papio anubis (olive baboon). Its description in RNAcentral is "lncRNA (ENSPANG00000045822.1)". The record is from RNAcentral. Lineage: Eukaryota; Metazoa; Chordata; Mammalia; Primates; Cercopithecidae.
AUCAACUUCUGAGGAUAACAAGGAACCAAGUCAUUAUCAUGAAAACUAGUCAAAAGGAAAGAAUCAAACAUUUUUCUUGCCUUUUCUAUAUUCAAUUAUAAUUCAUAAAAAAGUACCCUGGGAUACCCAAAUAGAUGAAGGGACGCUUUUCCUUACAGAGAUACUUCAGAGAAUAAACAACAACUGAACGACAGGACGAGGAUACCACCACUAAGAACCUUCAGGAAAUUUACAAAGCAAGGCUUGAGCUGACAUCAAUAAAAGAGUGUGAAAUGGGUGCAGUGUACCCCUGGGGCAAGCAGGGCGUGGCACAGUUAGAGUCUAACCAAGGGGUGGUACUUGGGCUGGAUCACACCUCAGGAUCCUGCUGCCAGUUUGCAACAAAUACAGAAAACAGUUAUAUGUUGAUGACAUGGUUUGGCUAUGUCUCCACCCAAAUCUUAUCUUGAAUUGUAAGAGUUCCCAGUGUUGUGGGAGGAACCUGGUGGGAGGUAACUGAAUCAUGGGGGUGAGUCUUUGCCAUGCUGUUCUCAUAAUAGUAUGUCUCAUGAGAUGUGAUGGUUUUAAAAGGGAAAGUUUCCCUGCACAAGCUCUCUUCUCUUGUCUGCCCCCACGUGAGACGUGCCUUUCACCUUCCGCCACGAUUGUGGGGCUUCCCCAGCCACACGGAACUGUUGUUUGCUCCACUGACAGUUUCUUCUGCUGUGCAGAAGCUGCUCAGUUCAACCAAGUCCCACUGGUCAAUGUCUGCCUUUGCUGCAAUUGCCCCUGGAGUCUUCAUCAUAAAAUCCCUGCUGAGACCAGUGUCUGGAAUGGUACUUCCUAGGUUUUCCUCCAAGAUUUCCACAGCUUUAUGUGUUACAUGUAAGUCUUUAAUUUAUCUUGAGUUGAUCUCUGUACAUGGUAAACAGAAGGGGCCCAGUCCCAAUGUCCCCACACAUGGCUAACCAGUUAUCCCAGCACCAUUCACCAAACAGGGGUCUUCUCCCCACUGCCUGUCAUUUUUGGCCCAGAGGCAAGAAAGGUAGUGACUCUACAUGAUACUUUCAAACAUGUGGAAAACUAAAGAAUAUGAUGGUUGGCUGCUCCUCAUGUCACUGGACAGAAUGGAGGGAAAAAAAGGGUUAGGUGAAUGAUGUAGCUUGGAUACUUGCCCUUGCCCAAAUCUCAUGUUGAAAUCUUGGAGGUUGGACCUGGUGGGAGAGGUGUUUGGAUCAUGGGGCCGAUCCCUCAUGAAUGGCUUGGACCAUCCCCUUGGUGAUGAGUGAGCUUCUCACUCUGAGUUCACAGAAGUUCUGGUUGUUUAAAGGUGUGUGGCACCUCCCCUCACUCUCCCUCUCCUUCUCUUUCUUGUUCCAGUUUUCACUGUGUAAUGUGUCUGCUCCCCCUUCACCUUGAGCUAUAAUUACUGUUUCCUGAGGCCUCGCCAGAAGCUGACCAGAUGCUAGCACCAUGCUUCCUGUACAGCCUGCAGAACUGUGAGCCAAUUAAACCUCUUUUCUUUACAAAUUACCCAGCCUCAGCUAUUUCUUUAUAGCAAUCCAAGAAUGGCCUAAUGCAAUCAGGGAUUUGAAUUUCCAUAUCAAGCUCCACAUAAAUAACCUAAGAAUUUCUAGGUGUACCUUGAAGGAGAAUCUUCUCUCUGCAGCUAUGGGACUGAAAUGGCCAAAAAUCAAACACAACUCCUCAUCGUGCGAUUCUGCCUGAAUUACAACAAAAGUUGAACUCUCAGCCUUGCAGGCUAUCUACUGUUAAAGUGAAGACCUUGGUUGGGGAAAAAUGGAAUCUGGCAAGUUGUGGUGGGGACAUGUGAGAAGCCCCUGAUGAGGCUGGGGACACUGCAUCUUUAAAUUCUGAUGAGUUAUUUUUGCCAAAGAAAGUGGCCUCCCCACCUACAAUGGUGUUGGCCUCUCCACUUUACGUCUAAGGAGAUUAACCCUGCAGUCCCUGAGGAAAUAGCACUACUCCCCUGAGGCAGUUGUCAAGCAAGACAAAGCUAAUGCUCCUCAGGACCCACCCCAGUGCCCCUCUUUGCUUCUAGACCUAUAACCAGACCCAUGUCCCAGCAGUACCUAAAGAUGAGGUACAGUGUGUGGCCCAUGAGAUGGUGACUACUCUGCAAAAGAACUCCUCGAGUUUCCUGAGUUGUACAAGCAGAAAUCUGAGGAACACGUGUAGGAAUAGAUACUAAGGGUGUGGGAUAGUGGUAGAAGGAACAUAAAGUUGGAUCGGAGGAUCAGACUGAAUUCAUUGACAUGGGUCCACUAAGCAGAGAUUCUGUAUGUAACACCGUAGCUUGGGGAGUUAGAAAGGGUUCUCAUGGUUGGUUGGUCACCUGGUUAUCUAAAACACGCAGCAAAAUAUGCCCCACUGUGAAUUAGCUGGAAAUGCCUGAUCCCCCCUGCCUUAACUAGAGGAAGAGAUUUAAAGGCUUAGGGUGACUGAAAUGCAAGAGCAGGAUUGUCACUUGGGACUCACUCGCUCACCCCGGAAGGGUCCAGAAGACACACCUUUCACCAAUACCUUGUGAAACAGAUUCAUGAGGGGAGCCCCAGCACCUUUGAAGAGCUCCCUGAUUGCUCCUUUCUUACAAUGGGAACCACAACCACUCAACUGGAAAACUUAAUGCAGUAAAAUAAUUGGAUCCCAGGGUGACAGGAGUCACACGGUGGUACUCAGUGGCCAAAGGAAAAGUAGAUGUAGUUACAUAGAGGGACAGCAUAGGCAAAGCAACCAUCAGAAUAGUCUGAUUCAUGUAGAUCUAUGGCAUUGGCUAGAUGAUCAUGGUGUUUCAAGACGUGAAAUAGAUGGGAUAGUCUACUAAACUCUUAAUUGAUCUGCAUAAGGGGAAAACUUCAGGUCAAGUAAACAAAAGUCUAACUCAAAUUAUAAAAACAGAGAAUCAGGGCCCCUUAAUUAAUUCCCAGACUUGAGCCAGUUUAUAGACCCAGAACCCAUUGACCGAAUGGGAGGUCAGAUCCCCUCCAGGAAAGACCCUAAUACACUAUUGAAAGUGUAUACCGUUGGCUGGGUGCGGUGGCUCACGCUUGUAGUCCCAGCACUGCGGGAGGCCAAUGCGGGCGGAUCACAAGGUCAGGAGUUCAAGACCAGCCUGGUCAACACGGUGAAACCCCGUCUCUACUAAAAAUACAAAAAUUAGCUGGGCCUGGGGACAGGCACCUGUAAUCCCAGCUGCUCGGGAGACUGAGGUAGGAGAAUCGCUUGAACCUGGGAGGCAGAGCUUGCAGUGAGCUGAGGUGGCACCACUGUGCUCCAGCCUGGGCAACAGAGCAAGACUCCACCUCAAAAAAAAAAAAAAAAAAAAAAAAAAAGAAAGAGAGUGUAUACUGUUAAUCUUUCCCCCAGUCUUCCCCAAAGGGACCCACAGCCUUUUACCAGGGUAACUGCAUUAAGGGAAAGGAAACAAUCAGACACUGGGAGACUUCUGAACAAUGGCUCUGAACUGACACUGAUCCCAGGAGACCUGAAACGUUACCGCAGCCCUCCAUUUAAAGUAGGGCUUAUGGAGGUCAAGUGGUCAAUGGAGUUUUAGCUCAAGUUUGAUUUACAGUGAGUCCAGUGGGUCCCUUAACCCAUCCCGUAGUCAGUUCCCCAGCUCCAAAUGCAUAAUUGGAAUAGACAUGUUUAGCAGCCAGCACAAUCCCUACACUGGUUCCCUAACAUGUGGGGUGAGGGCUAGUAUGGUGGGAAAGGUCAAAUGGAAGCCAUUAGAGCUGCCUCCACCUAGAAAUCAAAGGUGAUACAGCAUUUUUAGAGGUUUGCAGAGAUCAGCGCCACCACCAAGGACUCGGGGUGAUGAUCCCCAACCCCAUCCCUGCUCAAUUCUCUUAUUUGGCCUGUGCAGAGAACAGAUGGCUCUCAGAGAAUGACAGUGGAUUAUCAUAAGUUUAACCAGGUGGUGACUCUAAUUGCAACUACUUUACCAGAUGUGGUUUCAUCGCUUGAGAAAAUUAGCAAUACCCUGCUACCUGGUAUGCAGCUAUUGAUCUGGCAAAUGUUUUUUUCUCCAUACCUGUCCUUGAGGCCCACAAGAAGCAGUUUGCUUUCAUCUGGCCAGGCCAGCAACAUACCUUCACUGUCCUACCUCAGGCAUGUGUCAACUCUUCAACCCUAUGUCAUAGUUUCGUUCAGAGAGAUCUCGACUGCCUUUCCCUUCCAUAGAUAUCACACUGGGCCGUUACAGUGAUGGUUUAUGCUGAUUGAACCUAAACAGCGAGAAGUAGCAACCACUCUAGACUUACUGGUAAGACAGUUGUGUGUCACCUCCAGCCCUUUCAAUCCUCUUUACACUGCUCUACUUUUUCCCCAUAGCAAGUAUCCCCUUCAAACAUCCUAAGUAAUUCACUUUGUAUUAUGUUCAUUAUUUAUUAUCUGUCUUCCCCGUAGAAUGUAAGGUCCAAAGGUCCAAAAGAGUAGGAAUCUGUUUUAUUCACUGAUACAGAGAGUAUCCAGUAGCAUAAGCAGGUGUUCAACAAUUUUUUUUUUUUUUUUUUUUUUGAGACAGUGUCUCUGUUGCCCAGGCUAGGGUGCAGUGGCGCAAGCUUCACCUCCCAGGUUCACAUCAUUUUCCUGCCUCAGCCUCCCAAAUAGCUGGGACUACAGGUGCCCACCACCAUGCCCAGCUAAUUUUUGUAUUUUUAGUAGAGACGGGGUUUCACCAUGUUGGCUAGGAUGGUCUCCAUCUCCUAACCUCGUGAUCUGCUCACCUCGGCCUCCCAAAGUGCUGGAAUUACAGGCGUGAGUCACCAUGCCCGGCCCAACAAAUGUUUGUUGAAUGAAUAAAGUUGGAGAAGUAUGUAUUAAAGCAAGGAUUCUAAGCAAUACUGAACUGGGAGGUGUUGGAUACAAGGCGGUGAAGCUGCAGGUUGCAGAAGCAGAUGGGUUAUGGGAAUAAAACUGCUGUUGGGACUAAAGUCAGUGCGAAGGACAACACACGGAACAGACAGACAAAACAGCAAUGAUGGUAGAGUAGAACUGUCCCAGGAGGCCGGGCGCAGUGUCUCACACCUCAGCACUUUGUGAGACCAAGGCAGGUGGAUCAUGAGGUCAGGAGAUCGAGAUCAUCCUGGUCAACAUGGUGAAAUCCAAUCUCUACUAAAAAUAUAAAAAUUAGCCGGGCAUGAUGGCACACACCUGUAGUCCCAGCUACUCAGGAGGCAGAGGUUGAGCCGAGAUUGUGCCGCUGUACUCCACCUGGGCUACAGAGUGAGACUCCGUCAGUCCAUCAAUAACUGUCCCAGGAACUGCUAAAAGACUUAACAGCUGCACCCCUUCCCUAUAUGGC